GCUCUUCGCGCGGAUCGUGCGCGCCGGCCGGGUCAAGGAGGACGUCGCGAGGCGCUACUUCCGCCAGCUCAUCUCCGCCGUCGACUUCUGCCACGCGCGCGGCGUGUACCACCGCGACCUCAAGCCGGAGAACCUCCUCAUCGACGAAGCGGGGAACCUCAAGGUCGUCGACUUCGGCCUCAGCGCGCUCGCCGACCACGCGCGCAGCGAUGGAUUGCUGCACACGCUCUGCGGGACGCCGGGGUACGUCGCGCCGGAGGUGUUCCGGAACAAGGGCUACG
This 281-nucleotide long non-coding RNA is filed under the name Sorghum bicolor (sorghum). Its description in RNAcentral is "long non-coding RNA (SBIC_LNC013211)". The record is from RNAcentral. Lineage: Eukaryota; Viridiplantae; Streptophyta; Magnoliopsida; Poales; Poaceae.